Molecule: ribosomal RNA, 769 nt
Filed under: uncultured bacterium
Lineage: Bacteria
Description: bacterial SSU rRNA
Rfam family: Bacterial small subunit ribosomal RNA
Source: RNAcentral
CGCAGGCGGGAGGAUAGGUCGGAUGUGAAAACCUUGGGCUCGACCCAGGCCCUGCAUCUGAAACCAUCCUUCUUGAGUAUCGGAGAGGGAAGCGGAACUCCAGGUGUAGCGGUGAAAUGCGUAGAUAUCUGGGGGAACACCGGUGGCGAAGCCGGCUUCCUGGACGAAUACUGACGCUCAGGCACGAAGGCUAGGGGAGCAAACAGGAUUAGAUACCCUGGUAGUCCUAGCGGUAAACGAUGGGCACUAGGUAUCGGGGGUAUCGACCCCCUCGGUGCCGUAGCUAACGCAUUAAGUGCCCCGCCUGGGGAGUACGGCCGCAAGGCUGAAACUCAAAGGAAUUGACGGGGGCCCGCACAAGCAGUGGAGUGUGUGGUUUAAUUCGAUGCAACGCGAAGAACCUUACCUGGGCUUGACAUAUACAGGAAAGCCUCAGAGAUGAGGCCUCUCCGCAAGGAGUCUGUUUACAGGUGCUGCAUGGCUGUCGUCAGCUCGUGCCGUGAGGUGUUGGGUUAAGUCCCGCAACGAGCGCAACCCUCAUCUUUAGUUGCCAUCAUUGAGUUGGGAACUCUAAAGAAACUGCCUCGGUUAACGGGGAGGAAGGUGGGGAUGACGUCAAGUCCUCAUGGCCUUUAUGUCCAGGGCUACACACGUGCUACAAUGGGCGGUACAAAGGGUUGCAAUCCCGCAAGGGGGAGCUAAUCUCAAAAAACCGUUCUCAGUUCAGAUUGGAGUCUGCAACUCGACUCCAUGAAGGCGGAAUCGCUAG